CACGGAAGUCCGGCUACUUCCGCCUUCCUUACUCUCCUGCUGAGUUCCUAUUGGCUGCCUGUCUUAGACAGGCACUGAGCUCGCAGAGCUGGAACUCCGGGCGAGAGGCGUGUGUAUACCAGUGCGCCUGCGUUCGCUUGCGCGGCUUUUCAGAGUGUGCAAUUUUUCUCCGAGUUUUACCGCUUUUCCCGAAGGGGUUGAAUAGCUGCCUUGGUUAGUGGCGAGGCUCGGCAUAGUCAGUGGCUGUGCAGGGUGACGGUGUUUCAGUCUUAAUUAGCUCUCACUCAGUCUGGAUCAUGUGGCAACGCGCGAAUUCCUGAGUUCUGAUUCACUUGGACAGAGGAACCUGACAGGCUGCAGUCCAUGAGGUUGCAGAUAGUUGGACACAACUGAGUGACUAACACUCUAAUAGGUGCAUCUGCAGCUGUCAGAGGACAUCAUCAUUCAGAACUGGCUGGUAACCCUUUAAAAGCAACAACUAGGUGGCUGUUCUCCGUUUGACAACUGUUUCUGUGAAUGAACCCUGUUACGUUUUUUAUUAGGAUGGGUAUGAAGCAGGGAAUAAGCAGACAUUGGGCCUCAUAUAAGGGUCUGACCAGGUCUGAACAUCCAGAGAUCCAUAUCCUGCAGAACCCUGCUUCUCCCAGGAGUUCAUGGACCCUCCGAUUUGUGCAUUUUUCUUUGAUACCCGGUACCCAGCUUCCAUUAACAAGAAGACGAGGGCCUUUGUUCCCUCUAGACAUCGAGCCUGUGUUAUGCUCAAUGACCUAUUUCAGCAGGGCACGCUCUAACUCCUGUCCAGGAAAUUUCACGAAGUCAGUGGCCAAAGCUCUGCUGAAGAGAGUAGGGGAGUUCUUGAAACCCUGAUGAAGCCUCGUCCAAGAGAGCUGUUCAUUGUUUCCCAUGUGUGUUUUCCCAUUCAGGGGCAAAUAGUGGCUGGCUGGCAGGUGCAAGCUGGAGGCAGAAGAAGGCAUCUUUCAAGUGUGAGCAAGUAAACCAUUCAGCUGUGGAAGGGAUCAGUCCUAGUAGGGUGUACGGUUUAGGCACUGCUAGGUGCAGAGUAAUUGUUGCCUCGUUUACAGCUCUUAAGUCCUGAACCGGAUGGUAGUCAUGCAUUCCUGGCUUCUUCACGGGUAGUAGUGGGGUGUUCCAGGGUGAUUGGCAUUUCAUCAGAAGUCCGUGUUAGAGUAGUCUCUCUAAAUAAGGCUGGAUUCCCAGCCAGGCCUACCAGGAAAUCAGAUACUGUUGUAGUUUUACAGGCUGAGCUUCUGGUUUCAGAUCAGUCAGGAUGGGAGCAAGGGAUUUUGCCAAACCUGGAGCAUUUUCCUCGGCCCAAACUGGUGGAUACUGUCUCUGAUUGAGGAGGAAUGGUCCCUUCUCCUGGAAGGAAGAAAUACAGGCACCAUUCUUCUUCUCACCUUAUGGCAAGAGUCAUAAUCAAGGAGGGGGGUGGGCCUGCUAGCUUUAGGUGAGGUUACCCAUCAGCAGAAAAGGAAAUCUGAGCCCCCGUCAUAGCAAGCAGGUCUCUUCCCAUCAAGCAAAUAAGGCAAACAGGGCAGAUAGAGGAAUUCGUGCUCUACCUAAUGGCCCCCCAGUCAGCAUUGUCAAGGACUGCAAAAUGGCCUGCCAGUCUGGGUGCCUGUGGGUCUGGGUGCCUGUGCCCAAGAUGACGGUAGUUUCUUUUCCCGAUAUGAGGACUAUCUCCUGGGUGACCUCAGAAUGCUCAGCACCAGUGUCUACCAUAAAGUCCAUUGGAUGACCCCCUACUUGAAUUCUGACCAUGGGCUCUCAGGGACCCAGUUGGAGAGAAUCCAGUCUCCUCUAGUUGGAUCCUGCUUGAGCUAGCCCGAUCAGAUUAGUGCUGGGUGGCUCAGGUUGAUACCAGCUCUGUGGGCCUGCUGCUUUGGUUUUCUUCUCAGAGCGCCUGGGGCACUCAUUUUUCCAGUGUCCCUUUUCCUUGUAAUAGGCACACUGAUCGUGGCUGAGGGGAAUUGUCCUUUUCAGAUCUAGGCCCCUUGCCUUAUGGUGUGGUCCCACCGGGGGUGCAUGCUUUCACAGGCCAAAUGCCAAGAGUGGAACUUUUUGCUUCAUCCACUUUUUGCUCUUCGGUUGUGAUUGACAACGACUUUGUUGGCAAAGCAGUUCUGUGGCAUUUUUACCUGCAAACCCUUCUAACUUCUGUAAUUUUUUUUUUCUCAGAUGUCCGAUGGGGUCUGUCCCUGAAAGGCUGAAUUUGUUAUCUGUUGAUUUUCAGGGGUUUCAGGAUCAAAAGGGGUGAAAACCCAGAAGGCCUCACACAGCCUUUCGUAAAAAUCGUCCAGGCUUUCAUCUGGUUCCUGUAGCACCUCAGUGGUCUUUGCCAUGUUAGCAGGCUUCUUAGCCCUGUCUUUUACCCCCUGUAGGAGGGAGGGCCUGUGGAUAUCUCACCAACUGGUUUCUUACCCCCUCAGUUUUGAGGGUACCCCUCAGUUUGGGCUCUUCCUCUGGAAAAGUUCUCCCAAGCCCAGUUCUCCACAUCUAAUUGGGCCCCUGGGGUACUAGCCUGGAGUCAUUUUCUAGCCUUUGUCAUGACUCAUUGGCGUUCCUCUGUAUUGAAUAAGGUGAGGAGAUGCUGUAGGCAGUCUCCCCAGGUGGGGCAGUGGGUCUGGAAGAUGAAUUCUAAGACACCAGUCACUCUUGGUGACUUUCAGAACAUGAGGGGGUGUUUUGUUUCCCGUUAAAGAGAUCAAUCAUGGAAAAAGGCUGAUAGUAAAAAAUGGGUCAACACAGCAGAACCCGUGAGCUUGUUUGUAUCUCUUGAUGUAAUUGUACAUUUGUGGAGCCACUGUCCAGAGAUGUCACUGUCCAUCCUUUCCUCGUUCCUGUUUUGGACAGGGGUGCCACAGAGAUACAUUGACCAGUCUCCCCGAUUCUGUGGAUGCCUCUUGCCUCCUCUUCUUGUUCCUCCAAGUGUCAUGUCCUGUCACCUUCGUCUCUGCGUCUCAUGUGAGCCAGACACAUGCACACACACAGAAACACAUGCAAACACAGGUGACACAAACAUACCUGUGUAAACACACACGAGGAAGGCACAGUGACACAAACACAAACAGGGAAGGCCGGUGUUUCAGGAGCUGAAGAUGCCUGGGUCAAGCAAUGUGGGAGAUGGCAUCAGUAGGCACCGUGUCCUGCCCUUUUGGGAUCCCUGUCCGUUUCUUCGCCCAGCUGUUCAGUAUUAUCACCAGCCAGCCUUAAGUCAUUUCUGGCUUUUCCUGUGUGGUGGUGGUGAGAGCGAGGUCAAUCGGUGGAUGUGGAAAUUCACAGAAGACCCCAAAAUCAGCACAAAAGGGCCAAGGGACAGUGGAAAGAAACGCAUUCCAACUGGUGGUGCUUUCCAGGAGGAAGGGCGAGACUUAAGGGCUCAGGGGAAUCUUAAACUCAGUGAGCAGCAGGAGGCCUGGGAGUGGCCAACCUGGGAAAAGAUGAUUCUGACAAAGGCGCUUGAUUCACCCUGCCACUAUCAGAAUCACCUAGGGCUCUCUCAUCUUGUAAUCACAGCUUCUUCGAGUAAUGCUUGGACACACAAAGUCCCCAAGCCUCCAGUCUCAGCUUGUCACUUGCUACCAGUAUGCCCCAAAUCCAGGCUCCACAUCCAGCCUGCAUGAGCCUGAGCAUCCCCAUUUGGGAAAGGAGAAUGUUCCAGCCUCUGCAUGGCUGUCCCUUCAGAGCCCACCUUUGAUCCCCUCACAACCUGUGUUUCUGUCAGUAACCUCCCAUGGCAAGAUCUACCUCUCUGGGAAAUGCUGUAGGAGGUCGACCCACAGGUCUUUGCUGAUUCUCUGCUGGCAACACGAACAAGAUCAGCAUGGGGCUCACGAGGUCCCGAACUCUUCAUGAACAGCAAAGAACUCCAACACAAGUCACCAAUUCUGCAGAGGCCCAGAGCAACCCCAUCUCAGCUUUCCUGUUUGAUCCUGGGCUGUUGUGAUCCAACAACCAGUUGAGGAAGUUAAGGCUGCUGGUUUCCAGCCUGUGGCUUAGAGCUCCCCAUUUAUAAAUCCAGAACCAGUGGACUGGAGUGCAGUGACAUGGUGUACAUCCUGGAGGAAGACAGGGGAGGCAGGGCAGGAUCGUGCAGGAGGAGCAUCCACUCCCUUCCCCACCCACUCACACCACCCUGGGAGGCAGGUUGUACCAGUGAUGUCAAGGUAGUACUCCUUAAUGAUCACUGUGUUCCUGAAGUAGGGUUUGCUCCGAAAAGAAACUUAGUGGCAUGCAACGGGACCAGAGAUACCUCAGUUCCUACACCUGCCAGGACCAGGAGGAGGGAAAAUGUGCAAGUUUCUAGGGUCUGCAGCUUGCCUGCAGUGCAGGCAUCAACAGCUUCUGCCUCUCCACUCAAGUGCUCUCACCGCAUCAGAUGAUCCCACACUUCCCUGCCCAGCUCCCUACCUGUCCUCAUUCUCCCUCACUGACCUUCAAAUCCAUCAUGUAGCUAAGCAAGACUUCAUCUUGUUCACUGAUCAUGACGGAUGGUUGUUCACAAUCCGCUGCAGGUCAAGGAGCCAGUCAUGCCACGUGCCAGGCCAGGUAGAGCCACAAGCAACAGGGCUAGUCUGGGAUGGAACAAGUGAGAGGGUAAGAGGCAGAAAGCCUAGGGGCCUGCAAACGGAAGAAAGGGUCAGACAUUUUUUUAUCUUUCUCUUAAGCGGCAGCAGAAAACAAACUACAAGUGUCAGAAUUUUUUUUCCCUUCUAUAUACAAAAUUGAAAGGAGGUUUCCUUUAAAAUUCUGUGUCGCCUUGUUAAUGAACUAUGUAUUUACCCUAGACUCUGUCUGUCUUCAAAUUGGUUCCACCCAAGGCUCAGAACCAAAAAUGCCCCAAUAAACCAGUAUGUUUUACUCAUACAAUGGUUCUCCUAAUCUGUGUUAAUGAGACUAUGUAUUUGCUUGGAAACCUGCCUUUUUUCAAGAUUCAUGUCAGUUGUUUUAUGGCCCAGGAUGACUCAACUUGUGCCAAUGUUAUCUCGAUGCAUGUUGUGGGUGAGAGGCCUGGUGCCACUCUCUUAGGCUUGAGAUAUUUCCUUUCUCUAACUAUCAGACAGUAUCUGCUAAAGACUAGCAGAGGGGGCACUCUUUCUGCCGCCUUCUGAUGUCUAUGUCAUCAUAGAGAAGGCUUUCUCUAUCUCUUUUAUACUUUAAUAAAACUUGAUUACACAAGA
Dama dama (fallow deer) is the source of this 5201-nucleotide long non-coding RNA. RefSeq lists it as uncharacterized. NCBI's taxonomy places the organism in Eukaryota, Metazoa, Chordata, Mammalia, Artiodactyla, Cervidae. The transcript has 5 exons. The record is from RefSeq and is a predicted model, not a curated record.